UACAGAGGGGGCAAGCGUUGUUCGGAAUUACUGGGCGUAAAGGGCGCGUAGGCGGCCACUUAAGUCAGACGUGAAAUCCCUUGGCUCAACCAAGGAACUGCGUCUGAUACUGAGUGGCUUGAGUCCGGGAGAGGGAAGCGGAAUUCCAGGUGUAGCGGUGAAAUGCGUAGAUAUCUGGAGGAACACCGGUGGCGAAGGCGGCUUCCUGGACCGGUACUGACGCUGAGGCGCGAAAGCCAGGGGAGCAAACGGG
Molecule: ribosomal RNA, 253 nt
Filed under: uncultured bacterium
Lineage: Bacteria
Description: partial 16S ribosomal RNA
Rfam family: Bacterial small subunit ribosomal RNA
Source: RNAcentral